AACACUAUACUUUCAGGGAUCAUUUCUAUAGUUCGUUACUUAUAAUGCUGUUUAUUUCCAUAAAAACAUGUGUGGUCUUCCAAAACC
This 87-nucleotide small nucleolar RNA is filed under the name Tupaia belangeri (northern tree shrew). RNAcentral describes it as "Small nucleolar RNA U3 (ENSTBEG00000021078.1)". Lineage: Eukaryota; Metazoa; Chordata; Mammalia; Scandentia; Tupaiidae. The record is from RNAcentral.